GGGGAUGUACUGGUUUCGACAGGGUUUUGAAGUAUUCGGUAGCGAGUCGUGGAAUUCAUCUCUUAAUCACACGUUAAACUUAGAGAUAUUAAAUAUAAACGCAGAAGAUAAUUUUGCAAUAGCUGCCUAAUAGUUGCAGCUCGUCUUACUGAGAAUUCCUGCGACUUGGAUAAGGCGUCGUAAGCAGGCAACCUUUCUUAUAGCUAACUGGAAUAAGAAUUGUACAAUUCAGUUGUAGCGAUGAAAUAGUUGUGAUAUCAAGGCAGUUUCAAAGCGAAAAUAAAUAUUGAUAUCUACGCUCGUAGAAGCUGGAUAUGGAUGGAUUUUGGACAUGGGUUCAAUUCCCAUCAUCUCCACCA
RNAcentral lists this transfer-messenger RNA (359 nucleotides) under Peptoanaerobacter stomatis. RNAcentral's name for it is "Standard tmRNA". It matches the Rfam family "transfer-messenger RNA". Rfam says of the family: Bacterial tmRNA, also known as 10Sa RNA or SsrA, is named for its dual tRNA and mRNA-like properties. Its role is to liberate the mRNA from a stalled ribosome. RNAcentral also lists the same sequence under 1 other name. The record is from Rfam by way of RNAcentral. Lineage: Bacteria; Bacillati; Bacillota; Clostridia; Peptostreptococcales; Filifactoraceae.